This 594-nucleotide ribosomal RNA is filed under the name Starmerella sp. Its description in RNAcentral is "partial large subunit ribosomal RNA". It matches the Rfam family "Eukaryotic large subunit ribosomal RNA", at positions 38 to 667 of the family's 3401-position model. The record is from RNAcentral. Lineage: Eukaryota; Fungi; Ascomycota; Dipodascomycetes; Dipodascales; Trichomonascaceae.
GCAUAUCAAUAAGCGGAGGAAAAGAAACCAACAGGGAUUGCCUUAGUAGCGGCGAGUGAACCGGCAAAAGCUCAGAUUUGAAAGCCUUUCGGGGCAUUGUAUUCUGAAGCCUUGGUCCUGGGAACCGAUGUCCAAGUCUUCUGGAAAGGAGCGCCAUGGAGGGUGAUAGCCCCGUACGACAUUGAACCCAUUGUAGGACUUUGGCAUGGAGUCGAGUUGUUUGGGAAUGCAGCUCAAAUGGGUGGUAUGCUCCAUCUAAAGCUAAAUAUCUGCGAGAGACCGAUAGCGAACAAGUACUGUGAAGGAAAGAUGAAAAGAACUUUGAAAAGAGAGUGAAAUAGUAUGUGAAAUUGUUGAAAUGGAAGGGUAGGCCGCUAACCAUGCAGGGUCGUGUCUGGGGGAAGGAUAAAAGCUGAAGAACGUAGCUCCUCGGAGUGUUAUAGCUUCAGUCCAUACUUCCACCCGGGCGCGAGGACCUAAGACUCUGCUAAAUGGUGGUCUACCACCCGUCUUAAACACGGACCCCCGAGGACUGCGUCUUUGACUAGGAUGUUGGCAUAAUGAUCUUAAGUCGCCCGUCUUGAAACACGGACC